Molecule: small RNA, 140 nt
Filed under: Paenalicyclobacillus ferrooxydans
Lineage: Bacteria; Bacillati; Bacillota; Bacilli; Caryophanales; Alicyclobacillaceae
Description: Alicyclobacillus ferrooxydans c-di-AMP sequence
Rfam family: c-di-AMP riboswitch aptamer (ydaO/yuaA leader)
About the family: This family represents a conserved RNA structure found upstream of the ydaO and yuaA genes in Bacillus subtilis and related genes in other bacteria.
Source: Rfam by way of RNAcentral
AGUUCUAUUAAGCCGAAUCCUGCACAAGUAGGUACGGGGGACAUCAAUCUUGGGGUGAAUAUAGGCGAAUGAUAGUCUAUACGGGAAAUCUUCCUUCCCGAACCCGACAACUAACCUCGGAGGCUGUAGGAGGAAUACGA